UGUCAACAUAUUCGGGAGACAAAGAAGC
Molecule: non-coding RNA, 28 nt
Filed under: Mus musculus (house mouse)
Lineage: Eukaryota; Metazoa; Chordata; Mammalia; Rodentia; Muridae
Also listed under: 1 other name
Source: RNAcentral